This 683-nucleotide ribosomal RNA is filed under the name fungal sp. CFK11. Its description in RNAcentral is "SSU rRNA". It matches the Rfam family "Eukaryotic small subunit ribosomal RNA", at positions 426 to 1113 of the family's 1831-position model. Lineage: Eukaryota; Fungi. The record is from RNAcentral. RNAcentral also lists the same sequence under 3 other names.
CAGCAGGCGCGCAAAUUACCCAAUCCCGACACGGGGAGGUAGUGACAAUAAAUACUGAUACAGGGCUCUUUUGGGUCUUGUAAUUGGAAUGAGUACAAUUUAAACCUCUUAACGAGGAACAAUUGGAGGGCAAGUCUGGUGCCAGCAGCCGCGGUAAUUCCAGCUCCAAUAGCGUAUAUUAAAGUUGUUGCAGUUAAAAAGCUCGUAGUUGAAACUUGGGCCUGGCUGGCAGGUCCGCCUCACCGCGUGUACUUGUCCGGCCGGGCCUUUCCUUCUGGAGAACCUCAUGCCCUUCACUGGGUGUGUUGGGGAACCAGGACUUUUACUUUGAAAAAAUUAGAGUGUUCAAAGCAGGCCUUUGCUCGAAUACGUUAGCAUGGAAUAAUAGAAUAGGACGUGCGGUCCUAUUUUGUUGGUUUCUAGGACCGCCGUAAUGAUUAAUAGGGACAGUCGGGGGCAUCAGUAUUCAAUUGUCAGAGGUGAAAUUCUUGGAUUUAUUGAAGACUAACUACUGCGAAAGCAUUUGCCAAGGAUGUUUUCAUUAAUCAGUGAACGAAAGUUAGGGGAUCGAAGACGAUCAGAUACCGUCGUAGUCUUAACCGUAAACUAUGCCGACUAGGGAUCGGGCGAUGUUCUUUUUCUGACUCGCUCGGCACCUUACGAGAAAUCAAAGUUUUUGGGUU